This 212-nucleotide long non-coding RNA is filed under the name Lathyrus oleraceus (garden pea). Its description in RNAcentral is "Pisum sativum (pea) long non-coding RNA (PSAT_LNC029730)". The record is from RNAcentral. Lineage: Eukaryota; Viridiplantae; Streptophyta; Magnoliopsida; Fabales; Fabaceae.
ACAACAGGUUCAUACAUGACCUGACAACACCAGAAUACUCAAAGAUUUUUCAACAAUCAAUUCAAACAUGACCAAACAACAUUGAAUAUUCUAAGAGUGCUCAAUUAACAAGUUCAAAUAUGACAUGGUAGCAUUAGGGAACAUACAAAGAAGGUUUGAACAACAGGUUUAGAAAUGACCUGAUGAUAGCUUGAAUAUCAAGGAAAGUUUAC